Non-coding RNA from Hordeum vulgare subsp. vulgare (domesticated barley), 135 nucleotides. NCBI's taxonomy places the organism in Eukaryota, Viridiplantae, Streptophyta, Magnoliopsida, Poales, Poaceae. The record is from Rfam.
GUUGUACUCCUUCCGUCUCAAAAAAUUUGUCUUACGCUUGUUUAGAAAUAAAUGUAUCUAAAUAGUAACACAUGAUUAGAUACAUUCAUAUCCAGACAGAAAAAGACAAAUUUUUUGAGACAGAGAAAGUACUAA